Zingiber officinale is the source of this 3097-nucleotide RNA transcript. RefSeq lists it as uncharacterized. The record is from RefSeq and is a predicted model, not a curated record. The transcript has 4 exons. Lineage: Eukaryota; Viridiplantae; Streptophyta; Magnoliopsida; Zingiberales; Zingiberaceae.
UUCUAUCAAUCCAAUUCUUAUUCCCAUUUCCUGACCUCCUCCUCCGAAACCUCCCGUUCGUGAAAACCAUCUACCAAAUCCCUCCUCUGCGCCACCCGCACCUAGCCUCCUCCACUCCUCCCUGCCCGUCUAGCUUUCUCCUCCGUUCCUCCACAUCGCCUGCGACCUAACUUCCUUCACACAAAGGGGUCUUGCCGUUGCAAGAGAUUUCGUCGUUCCUCGCCGCGAAGCUGUCUUCGCACAAAGGGGUCUCGCCGUUCCUCGUAGAUGCACCGUUCCUCCUUGCGACGCCGUCCUUCGCACAAAGGGGUUCGCCGAGCUAACUGCCAUCUGUUAUCUCCAUCGCCCGCAACCCUCUCGUGGCCAUCGUCGACGUCAGGGACUAGGAGAGGAGUUACGACGCCCACAUCGCAGGGUCACUUCGCUAUGCUAGCGGCACCUUCUCGGAGAGGAUGUCGGAUCUCCUCCACGCUGUCAAGGGCAAGGACACCCUACUCUUUCAUUGCACCCUCGCCCAGACACCUCGUCUUAUGCUCCUCAUGACCUGUGGCUAUGGAAAUGCCCACUAAUUUUAGUGCUUCUAAUCAGGACAUGCAACAGGUAUUUUGGUCUUAGAUUCCUUGCAUUUGUAAUCUUUGUGUCUAGUAUUUCUUGAUAUUCUAGUCUGACCAUUUGACAUGUCUUUUUACUAAAUGAUUAAUUGUUUAGCAGACUUAAUUUAUUGGUUGAAUUUAAAAUAAUGAGAGUUGAUGGAAAUUGAUCAUGCUUAUAAAAUUUAUGACUUUUAAAGCACGUUAUGCAUUCUAUAUUGUGUAUUAAGAUGCAUUUUUAGGUUUAUAUCGUUGUACUAGUUAAGCUUAUUGAUUAACUUUUUUGGUGUUAUUUGGUAUUAACAUAAAUUGAUUAUGUUGGCAAAGGCUUUGGAAGUUAUUGCCAAGGCCCUGGGUUCAACAUCCUCUUCACCGUAAUGGGGGCUUGCUUUCAUUUAUAUUAUCAUUAAAAGGUCCAUUUUUAAUGAUCUAUACAUCUAUACUUUUAAAACAUAGAAGCUUAUGCAUCAAAAAUUUCUGGAACAUAACUAAAUAAACAAAAAUGCUUGGUCUACUUGUGAGAUCAUGAUACAUGAGUUAUUUUAGCUAAUAGUUCACUGAGGAAGCCACAUGUGUUGAGAGACGAUGCUUAUCACAAGGGUUGGAGAUUAGAGUGAUAAGUCAUUGAAUGUUGUGACUGACUGACUGCUGGUGAAUGCUUAUUAUACUGGUGACAAUGGGAAGAACAGAUGCAAUCAGAAUUUAUUUAGCAUAGUGGAUUCUGGAUCCAAUAUCAAUGUUCUAUAGUUGUUGUUUACUGGAAUGUUACCAUUAGCAAUAGGACAAAGAUGAAGCCGUCAAGAGGCUGACAUUGUCCUGGGUUUUACUAUUAAGCACAACCUUAGGUUGUCAAUGAUGGAGCUUUGGCAACAAGAAGUAAAUAUCAUGGCCAAUUUCUCUUCAGGUGAUGUUGUGUCAGGAUAGUCUUGCAAUUGCAUUCAUGUCAAACUGGUAAGGCUUCUUCCCUACAGCAUGUUCAGCAUAUUCUUUGAAAAACAUUGUGCUUUGAUUUCUCAUGAAAGUGAAAGUUAUUACUGUCUAUAUUGUUGUGCUUAGCAAAUGUCAAGCUUAUUUGAACCUUUUGUUGUUAGCCUGGAGAAGAUUAAAAGAACUGAUAACAUUUUGGUAGUAAAUUGAUUGUGUUCUGUGUAGCUUUGUUGAUGCAUGUAAGAUUAGAGAUGAAUAUGCCAUAGUAGUGAAAUGGAAUAUCCAUCUGACAAAAGAUUUGUGCAAUCUACAUGAGAAUCAGCCAGGACCAUUCCCUGAAAAACUAUUGAUACGACCUUGAACUAUCAAUAUUACAAGUACUAAAAUAAAGUUGAUUUGAACUAGAGGUACUACAUUCUUUUUGUAAAUUAAUAGAAUUCACUAGUUAGAUGGAUUGGAUCAAGAUUUGUAAAUUAAUUGUGUAAAUUAAUAGAAUGGAAAGAACAUAAAUCAAACAAAAGAAAACAAAGAAUAAAACCAUUGUCCUUGUUAGGAGGUCAUGGAUUCGAUAGCCUGAUGGCUCAUCAGUUUGCCUUUGGAUGAAUAAUAGUAGUAGAUUUUGCAAGAGAAUUUAAGUAGUAUUUGAAUACGAAAUGGAUUUACUUAUAAUUAUAUGCUCUUGUAGUUGAUUUUGUUGUCUAAGGAGAUGAACACAUAAAAUAUCUGUGAAUUAAGUAACUUUCUCAAGAUUUGAUCUUAUCUAAUGUGUUGUUUUGUAUUUGCUUUUUAAUACAACAGUAUUUGGAUGAGAAUAAACAGUUGAUUCUAGCUAUUUAGACAAGCAAAAUGCUGGGAAAGCUGAAAAAUGCGCCGAGUAAGUCCAAUUUUCACAGAUAAUAGACAGACGAGAUUAUUGUGAAAUUUAAAAUGAAACAUGUUGAAGGUUUAUCGUAAAAACUUGUGUUAAAUACAGAAGAAACAAAAUCUUACGAUAGAAAAAUAUACACAUGAUGUUGCUAGAUUUCUUAUGUCCUUAAAAACUUGUUUACAUAUACAUGGAAAUAGAUCUUAUGUUAGCAUGCAUGGAACUAUAUAAGGGGAUUCUUUUCAUUUCCAAUUGCAGGAACCAGGCUAGAUAUUUCCAGUUCAGAUCCUUUGUUCUCAAAUUUUUCUGUCCCCGUGCUCUCUGCCGAUCGGACGGACUAGAUUACAUCUCAAAGCAUCAUGACAUCUUUAAGAUGUGCACAGUAUCCUCGUGAUGUGCAAGACAUCCUUGAGAUGUAAUCUGAUCUGUCCGAUCGACAAGGGGACACGAGGACAGAAAAAUUUGAAGACAAGGGAUCCGAACUCAGAUAUUUCAGAGGAAUCUCAUGAACCUUGCGCCCAUUGCAGAGAUAGUCAACAAGUUUCAACCAUGACUCAACUAUGCAUGAUCAUUGUGAUCAAUUAAUUGAGAAUUCUCCUUUCCAAAAGUGAUUUUUAGUAGAGGGUAGAAUCUUGAAAAUCUUGAUAAGAAUAAGACAGUCUUGUGCAAUGUUUUUUUUUAUAUUGAAAAUAAGUGUGCUUGUUUACUUGUUUUA